AGCCAAUGCCUAUAAUGAGUCAGACAUACUUUAAUCAUUUAUUUGAAUGCACUGCGUAUCAAAUAGAAAAAUACUGCUGUAAUCAUACUUGUUAGCCAAUUUCAUAUCCUGCCACUCUGGGUUUGAGUCUCAGAUCAAGCAUAUACACCUUUUUUUUUUAAUGCCUUUAGGGUUUAUUUUGUAUUGUGUAUUGUAUUGUCAGUGUUCCUUUUCAAUUUAGAGGCACGAAUAACCAUGGACUAAAACUCAGCCUUUAACCUUGACUGUAAGAAAUAGUUGACAUUUAACAUGAUAAUUAGCAAAAUUAACUAAUAUGAACAUUUUCUGGUGAUAACACCCAUUCCUAGUCUCAUACAUCAUAAUUUUUAUGCAUCAGGAAACAUCCCAUUAAAUACAGUGAGUUAGAUGGUGAUCUUCAAGUCUACUUAAAAAGACAAACUAAAUGAAACAAAGUGUGAAGAUUCAGUUAGUUUGUAAUGGAUGACCGUACAAAAACCAACAAACAAUAAGGAAAUGUCUGUAGGAGCAGGUAGAAAAGUGCAUUUGUUAUUGUGGACAUUGUGGACAUCAGCUGUUUGGUGACUUUUAUGACCUAGCCUAAGAAUCUUCAUCUCAUUAGUCAUGCAAGCAGGGUGACUGAAGCCAGCAAGUAGGUAGUUAGGCCGCAGCCUCAGUGCAAACAUCGGGUUAUACACUGUGAUAAAAAA
Molecule: long non-coding RNA, 707 nt
Organism: Sphaeramia orbicularis (orbiculate cardinalfish)
Lineage: Eukaryota; Metazoa; Chordata; Actinopteri; Kurtiformes; Apogonidae
Exons: 2
Source: RefSeq, a predicted model, not a curated record